GAAACUUCAGGAGUUCACAAGUCUCCCACCU
This 31-nucleotide non-coding RNA is filed under the name Mus musculus (house mouse). The record is from RNAcentral. Lineage: Eukaryota; Metazoa; Chordata; Mammalia; Rodentia; Muridae.